RNAcentral lists this ribosomal RNA (933 nucleotides) under Triticum aestivum (bread wheat). Its description in RNAcentral is "partial small subunit ribosomal RNA". Lineage: Eukaryota; Viridiplantae; Streptophyta; Magnoliopsida; Poales; Poaceae. The record is from RNAcentral.
AUGAUUGGAAAGGGAGGUUUUGGUAAAGUAUACAAGGGAAUGUUAGGUGGUCAAGAAGUUGCAAUCAAGAGACUAAGUAGAGAUUCUCGACAAGGAACAAAAGAAUUUAGGAAUGAAGUGAUUCUAAUUGCCAAAUUGCAACAUAGAAACUUGGUUCGACUUCUUGGAUGUUGCAGCGAGGGAGAUGAAAAACUCCUGAUAUACGAGUAUCUACCUAAUAAGAGCUUAGAUUCUACCCUUUUUGAUGAGUCAAGAAAACUGAUGUUGGACUGGGCGACAAGAUUCCGUAUAAUCAAAGGGAUUGCAAGGAGACUUCUAUAUCUUCACGAAGACUCAAGGUUCACUAUAAUUCAUAGAGAUCUGAAAGCUGGAAAUGUUUUGCUUGGUGCAAAUUUGAAACCCAAGAUAGCUGAUUUUGGUACGGCGAGGAUCUUUGGUGAUAAUGAAGAAAAUGCAAAUACCCAACGCAUUGUUGGAACAUAUGGCUACAUGGCUCCUAAGUAUGCAAUGGAAGGAGUCUUCUCUACCAAGUCCGACGUGUACAGUUUUGGCGUGUUACUACUGGAGGUUGUAACUGGUAUAAGGAGAAACUCCAUUAGUCAAACCAUGGGAUUCCCUAGCCUCACAGUUUACUCAUGGAAUAUGUGGAAGGAAGACAAGACUGAGGAGUUGCCUGACUCAUCCAUCAUAGAUACUUCACCCGAUGAAGUUUUACUUUGCGUCCAUGUAGCGCUAUUGUGUGUCCAAGAGAACCCUGACGAUAGGCCGCUCAUGUCAUCUGUGGUGUUUGUCCUAGAGAACGGAAGCACCACACUUACAGCCCCCAAUCGCCCUGCCUGCUUUGCGCGACGAAGUGCUGAAAUGGAUCAAAUCAGAAAUGAUAUUCAAACUUCCGUGAACAGUUUUACUCUUACUGAGAUAGAGGGCAGAUGA